UAGGGAAUCUUCAGCAAUGGACGGAAGUCUGACCGAGCAACGCCGCGUGAGUGAAGAAGGUUUUCGGAUCGUAAAGCUCUGUUGUAAGAGAAGAACGAGUGUGAGAGUGGAAAGUUCACACUGUGACGGUAUCUUACCAGAAAGGGACGGCUAACUACGUGCCAGCAGCCGCGGUAAUACGUAGGUCCCGAGCGUUGUCCGGAUUUAUUGGGCGUAAAGCGAGCGCAGGCGGUUAGAUAAGUCUGAAGUUAAAGGCUGUGGCUUAACCAUAGUACGCUUUGGAAACUGUUUAACUUGAGUGCAAGAGGGGAGAGUGGAAUUCCAUGUGUAGCGGUGAAAUGCGUAGAUAUAUGGAGGAACACCGGUGGCGAAAGCGGCUCUCUGGCUUGUAACUGACGCUGAGGCUCGAAAGCGUGGGGAGCAAACAGGAUUAGAUACCCUGGUAGUCCACGCCGUAAACGAUGAGUGCUAGGUGUUAGACCCUUUCCGGGGUUUAGUGCCGCAGCUAACGCAUUAAGCACUCCGCCUGGGGAGUACGACCGCAAGGUUG
RNAcentral lists this ribosomal RNA (550 nucleotides) under uncultured bacterium. Its description in RNAcentral is "bacterial SSU rRNA". It matches the Rfam family "Bacterial small subunit ribosomal RNA", at positions 355 to 896 of the family's 1533-position model. The record is from RNAcentral.